CAGUAGCCACGGGAACACGUAGGGCGCAAGCGUUGUCCGGAAUUAUUGGGCGUAAAGAGCUCGUAGGCGGUCUGUUGCGUCCGCUGUGAAAACUCGGGGCUUAACCCCGAGCCUACAGUGGAUACGGGCAGACUAGAGGUAGGUAGGGGAGAAUGGAAUUCCCGGUGUAGCGGUGAAAUGCGCAGAUAUCGGGAGGAACACCGGUGGCGAAGGCGGUUCUCUGGGCCUUACCUGACGCUGAGGAGCGAAAGCGUGGGGAGCGAACAGGAUUAGAUACCCCUGUAGUCCCUGUCUCUUAUAC
This 301-nucleotide ribosomal RNA is filed under the name uncultured bacterium. Its description in RNAcentral is "partial 16S ribosomal RNA". It matches the Rfam family "Bacterial small subunit ribosomal RNA", at positions 509 to 807 of the family's 1533-position model. The record is from RNAcentral.